Molecule: long non-coding RNA, 23838 nt
Filed under: Triticum aestivum (bread wheat)
Lineage: Eukaryota; Viridiplantae; Streptophyta; Magnoliopsida; Poales; Poaceae
Description: long non-coding RNA (TAES_LNC026638)
Source: RNAcentral
UUUUUUUCAUGUUAAAUAGACACACUAGUAUAUAACUUGGUAUAAAACACAAGACCAGCCAAGCAUUGAAAUGCAUGCAUGUACACUGAUCGUGAUGUUCAUCAAUUAUCAUGAUCGUGUCAUGAACAUUGGUAAUAGGUGCAAUCUGAUCCAUUCACUCACAUUUAUAAAUAUACAAGCCAACAAAUGUAUACACACUUUGAGAAUAAGUCCUAGGGAAGUUCAACAAGGCACCACUACAUCGGUUCAAGGACCAUGAGGCUUGGGAGGUAUCAUGAGAAAUAUUGCUUUAUUACAAUUGAAUAGAGGGUGUCAGAGAUACACAAAUCAAGCGAAGGCGGUCUCUUCAAAAUGUGAUAUCUCUAGCUUUGUCAAUAAUUACUUAAUGUCAUGUUAACUCCUUUUGUACGUAAACCAUGUUUUCAAAUAAGUGUAUAUUACCACCAUUAACUAUAGUGCGAGUUGCCACUAAAACAAGUAUCACGGGAGUUUAAUUUUGACUGUGAACUCAAUUAUAUACCACUUAGAGGAGACCCCUAAAUUCUAAGAACAGUUUGCUUUAUCUGUCUAUUCAUAUUGAGGUGAUUUUGCCUGACGUGAUGAUUAGAUGUUAAUUAUUCCAUACGCACAAAAGUAGAGAGUGUACUCAUCGAUACUUCCUAGAAAAACGUAAGCACAUACAUUGUGAUGCCCCACUUGAUGCAUUAAUAAAACCUCUUUCUUGAAAAAUUGAGCGAGGCACUUUUUCGUUGAGAGGAAACAAGAUUUCAGUUAACCAAACAAAUAACAAGACCAUAAUGGAACUACAUCUUUCUCCACGGUUGAAGCAAAGACUCUUAUAAAAUAAGCCUUGAAGAGCGAACCAAGAAUUAGAUUAUGCAUGUACUCCCUCCGUUUUUUUUUGUAUGCAUAUAAGGUUUGGUCAAAGUCAAGCUUUGUAGAGUUUGACUAACUUUAUAUUAAAAAAUAUAAACAUUCACAAUAUGAAAUCAAUAUUAUCAGAUGCACCAUGAAACGUAUUUUCAUACUAUAUAGUUUCAGUAUUGUAGAUGUUCAUAUUUUUUUAUAUAAAUUUGGUCAAACUUUGUGUAGUUUGACUUUAACCAAAUCUUAUAUGCGGAGUAAAAAAAACGGAGGGAGUAUUAGAACACCUCUAUGUGGAACAAAACAGAUGCCACUCUUGAGAAAAAAUCGUGCAUCUUUUUUUAGGUUCUAAGACUAAUAUAGCCACUAAUACUAUAUCAUCUUAAAACAAUUUAAGUUUAAAAAUCGCUAUCUAGGCAUCCUGGAUAACAUUGGCUACCAUACACAACUUGGUAAAUAAAAAAUGCGGGUCAAAUAAAUUGAGCCAUCAUUAGAAAAAAAUUCCAAGUUAAUCAGUUAACUAUUUUGAUCCAGUUCAUGGUACUCUCCCUGUAGCCUAUUGCUAUACCAUUCCAGCAAUGGCAUCCUUGGCCAUUUAAUAACCCUUUGUGCUAGGGACCAUAAGGUUUGAGCUGCCCAAAGAUGGUAAUGUGCAUUUACACUUCAGUCGUGAAGCGGUUUUUUGUUGGGCCGCCAAAGUUGGAGACUCGUCACACAUCUUAUUCUUCGUGUCAAUUGCAGUAGCCCAUGCCUUAAAUCCAGGGAACAAUUCUCAACACAUGUGAAAAAACUAUUUGUGGUUAAAAAGGCAGAGACGCAUGACUGGCAAGAAGUUCUUUUGGCUAAAACGGUCUCGUGUAUUGGGGGCUGAGAUGAAACCAAUAUUAAUUUCAAGACCUACUUGGUUAAAAAGAUUGGCUGCGGAAAAGGUUGUGGCCUGCUUUGUUAGUAGUUCAAAGCCAAAACAGGAGGAAAGCUUAGAAAAAAUGUGGUAUUUAACUAAAUGGUUCUCUUCGGCGAUUGAAGUGCCCCUUGACUGGAAAAAAAUCAUAGGCUGGUAAUUGGGUUCUGCUUCCUAGUUGCUUUCUUGUGUUGGAGUUACUAGACAUGAUUCAGGUGAUUUGAGCCUAAGGUUAACUCAUACACAAGCUAUCCAACUUCUUUGUAUCUUAAUUUCCUAUGGUAGUUAUAUUUAUUGCAGACGUAACGUUAUCCCUAGCCCAUGUUUGCAUUUCAGAGAUGAUGACAAUAAUAAUAUGUGGAUUUAGACAUUGUUGAUUCUUGUGUGAUCUCAUUAUAGUAACAUGCUACUAUCUUGUUAAUCUGCAUUGGCCUAAAUAUAUGAGCUAGCAUGAAUGUUUGAAUAUAUGGGAAAUCAUGUAACACUACUAGGGAAAAGCUUAUACACAGAAUAUUAGCAGUAGCGCUGGGUUAAAUGAGGCGCUGCUGCUACUUAGUAGUAGCGCGUGUCAGUAAGAUGCGCUACUGUUAUACUUUUAGCAGCAGCGCGUUUUAGCGAAACGCGCUGCUGCUAAGUUUGAACUGGGGCAUAAUGGCUAGCCCCACUUAGUAGCAGCGCGUAUCCAGAUACCGCACUACUGCUAUGCUCCAUAGUAGUAGCGCUUUUCUUCGACACGCGCUACUACUAACCCUACCUUAUCGUCCCUGCGCGACCGACCCCCUCACUCUCCCUCUCACUCACUCUCUCCCCCGCGCCCCCGUCGUCCGCUGCCGCCGCCGUUCCCCGACGACCGCCGUCACCCGCAGCCGUCGUUCCUCCUCCACUGAGGUAGUCCCUCAUGCCUCCUCCUCCCUCCUUCCCUCCUCCAUCCUUCUCCAUCUGCCCCCUCCUCUCUCCACCACUGGGCGCCCCUCCUCCACCNNNNNNNNNNNNNNNNNNNNNNNNNNNNNNNNNNNNNNNNNNNNNNNNNNNNNNNNNNNNNNNNNNNNNNNNNNNNNNNNNNNNNNNNNNNNNNNNNNNNNNNNNNNNNNNNNNNNNNNNNNNNNNNNNNNNNNNNNNNNNNNNNNNNNNNNNNNNNNNNNNNNNNNNNNNNNNNNNNNNNNNNNNNNNNNNNNNNNNNNNNNNNNNNNNNNNNNNNNNNNNNNNNNNNNNNNNNNNNNNNNNNNNNNNNNNNNNNNNNNNNNNNNNNNNNNNNNNNNNNNNNNNNNNNNNNNNNNNNNNNNNNNNNNNNNUUUUACUGUUUUUAGUAAGUGUUUAAUAGAAUUAUUAAGAAAAUUAAUAGAACUAGUUUAUUUUUAGUAAUAAUUAGUUUAUUUUUAUUUAUAGUAAGUUCUUAGUUGAACUAGUUAAAUUAAUAGAACUAGUUUAUUUUUAGUAAGAACUAGUUUGUUUUUAUUUAUAGUAAGUGUUAAGUUGAACUAGUUGAAUUAAUAUAACUAGUUUAUUUUUAGUAAGAAAAUUUAGGUAUAUGAGAUUUGAUGAUCUAAUUAAAAUUUUACUAUAGAACUAGUUUAUAUUUAGUAAAAAAAAACUAGUUUAUUUUUUUAUGUCAUUAUCACUUUGUCAUCAAAGAAUGCUAUAUGAGAUCUGAUGAUCUAAUUAAAAUUUUACUUGAUGGAAUAUGCAGGCUUAGUCGUGUCUCCUUGGAGUGAUCGUCAUCCGAGCUACCUCCACUUCCUCUAUACCCGAGUCCGUGAGCUAAAAGUCCACCUCCUCCUUCUCCACCUUCCUCUACAUCCGAACUAGGGUAUUUAGUUAUUCUUCUUAAUCAAAUGAAAUGUUUGGAUUAUAAGCUAUAUUGAAAUGUUUUUGUCAAUAUUGAACCAUUGAAAUGCAAUGAGCACUAGUUUAUGCUCAUGUGCGAAGUGUCCAUUCAUUUUCAAGUGACCUAUGUUUUGCCGGAGUGUUGAUUCAUUUCCAUUCCGGCAAAUUUCAGGCUCUCGAUAUGUCCUAUUUUAGCAAAGGUCAUGUCGGAUUUUUCCAUGAAUUUAAGCAAGACUUGUGCUAGAAUAUGUAGGAAAUAUCGAGUGCCCCGGAUUUGCUAGAAAGAGAACUAAACGACAUUUCGAGUUGACUUUAAGUCUGUCGGGGCUCCAUCCAUGACUGUCCAAAAAUCGGUGAGGGAGAGUCUCCACCAUAUAUGAGAGAAGAAUGCCGACUGUUGUCGUGGGGGUCGCUUUUCCUUCUUCUCUUUGUGCUAGACCUCUGUUAUGCACUAGGGGAAGAAGGAGUAGCGACCAUCAUCAACGGUCGAAAAAUCGGUGACGAAGUGUCCAUCAUAUAUGAGAGAAGAAGAAUGUCGACUGUUGUCGUGGGGGUCGCUUCUCCUUCUUUUCCUUGUGCUAGAUAUUUGUAAUGCACUAGGGAAAGGAGGAAUGGCAAUCAUCACCAACGGUCGCAAUAUCAGAGAGGGAGUGCCCACCAUAUACGUGAGAUGAGAGUUUAGGAAGGAUGACUCGACAGACCUAAAGUCCACCCAUUACAUAUUGAGUAAUAGUGAUAUGUGUGUUGAGUUUUCUGGUAGUUGCCUUCGGUCGAUUUUUAACUAAUGUUUCAACUAUGAACAUAGGAAAUGUCUGAAGACAAAAAGGAAUUCUGUAUGUGCAAAUACUGCGAAGACAAGCGCGGCCUAUGCGACAGGCCUCACCUAGUUGGUGGUAGGCGCUUCAACAUCAAGCUGGAUGACACCUUCAAAGUGCAUACAGUAAGUCACAAUGACAAGUCUUUUCUUGUAAUUAAGCAUGACUUCUGCUUCUUUUGCUUCAACUUAUAAUUUAAUUUUUUUUUACUAUUCUACUAGCAUAUCCCCUGCCAUGCAAGAAUAUAUGUCUUGGAUAAGGUUGGUUUCAGUACUAUGGAAACUAUGGUGGUAAAAAGAGUUAACUUGAGGACCGAGCAUGGUUAUAGUUUUACCACAAAAUUAUACAAUACAGACACCUACACCCAUUUUGAAUGCAAACAAUGGAGAGCACUAUGCAAGGCUUAUGCAUUUGAGCCUGAUAUGCUUAUCACCUUUGAUAUUCGUCCGGAAGAUGAUAUUGAAGAUAAUAUUGACAUCUGGGUCGAUGUGCAGACGCCUCCAGUUCUACUAUUAUGUAAGUUUCUCAACCAUGUUUAUGUCUUUGAUAUUGUUUAUUAAAAAAUACUUGACAACUAAUUUCUAUUGACAGCUUAUUUCCAUUCAAGCAAACAUGUCCAGCGCUUGGUAGACAGGACCUACUACUGUCCCGGGGCUGAACUAAACUACGAGGAGACAAGUCAUUAUGUUUCAUGGCUUGAGGAUCUUCAUACUGUCAAGACAAAUUAUUUUCCUGGACUUAGAAAUCUUAGUACUCAAAACGUGCGACCAAUAGUGUUCGUACUGAACUACGGUCACAUCUAUUUAGGAAAGAUGGUAAGAUUUUACUAUUUGUCCUCAGUGCAUCUUUUGCAUACAUUAUUUUUUAAGCUAAACUUCAUUGCUAAGUAUGUUACUACAUGUUCUUCAACAGGGACUCUCCAUGAUAGUUGUGCCUCUGUGGAUCGAAGCUAAAGGUCGCAUGUCCAUGGUUAGCAUACGGCCAAGACUUCCUACAUUGCACAUGAGUGCAUUCAGGAUUUCUAGAAGCGAGCAAGUCUUAAUAGUCAAAGAUGGAACAAAAUUGUGAAGGAUCGCAGAGAAGUACUAGGGGGCAGCAAUCAGAAGCGCAGCCCACAAUUAGGAGACGGGUUCAUCUGCAUGCUUCAAUAUGAUGAAUCAGGAGCGCUCCACAUGUUCUAUGCUAUUUUACCUAAGAGAGAGCAGUAGGAGUGAUUAGCUAGCUAGAAUGAGUGUUGGUGGUGAUGACUAUGAUGAUUAAUAUUACCUAGUGUUGAUGGUGGUUAGCUAUGACUAUGAUGAUUAAAUAGUGUUGGCGGUAAUAACUAUGAUGAUUAUUAGCUAGUGUUGUUGGUGAUGAUAUGAUGCAAGAGUUUUUAUAUUAAUAUGAUGAUGAUGAUGAUGAUGAUGAGUACGUUAUUAUAUCACUGGGUGAAAGGACCGUGGAUUAGUUUUAAGUGGAUGGAUCCUAAGUGAUUAAGUCAUGGAUUAUCGUGAUAAUCCAUGACUUGGUCACUUAGGAUCCAUCCAUUUGAACCAAUCUGUGGUUCUUUCAUCUACUGAUUUAAUAACUCAUUAUAAUGUAAAAACAAUCUCUAAAUUGCUACUGUAUGAAAAAAAUGUAUAAAGCUAAAAUUUAAAAGAAAUAGAGUACGGAUAAUAGUAGUAGCACGAGCAGAGAGAAGCGCUACUAGUAAUUACCAGUAGCGGUUAUUUGAGAAAGCGCUACUACUAAGUAGAUAUAGCAGUAGCGCGUGCCAGCAGGCGCUACUGCUAAGCUUUAGCUUUAGCGUCGUAUUAGUAACGCGGUUACCCGCGCUACUGAUAGGCCAAAAACCAGCGUACUGCUAGGUUUUCCCUAGUAGUGUAACUGAAUCAGAUCUAUAAUACCUAAAUAGUUGAUCCCCACUAUGUUAUUUCUCUAGACAUGCAGGCUAUCCACAUCAACAAACCUGCCACAUCAGUUGGUGAUCCACGUCAUGUCAAUUAGGUUAUCUAUUCACGUACACCAGAUUCAAUCAGGUUCAAUUUAGUUUGGAAACCGAACAGUUAGGUUGGGUUGGACUCCUUUGCUUCCCCUCCCUGUGUAAUUAUGUAUACCGCACCAUAUUCUUCCCCUCCCCUCCACUUUCCCAAUUUCAGGGCAUCUUCUCCCCUUCCAUUCUCAACCGAUUCCUUUCCAUGUGUAUAAAUCUGCACUUCCUCUCCCACGCUUCCUCCCGCACAAGGCCACUGCUUCCCAUGCUACGGGUCCUUCAAUUGAUGCCGCCUCCUGCUGAUUGUAGGCACACCGGUGCUCUUGCCGUCCUUCCAGCGGUGGUGAUCGUGUCGGAUUCUCACCAUCGUUUCUCUGGAAGAAGAGAUCAACACCCCGAAUCAUCAUGUACUCAUCUUAGCUACUGCAGGAGAACCCCAUUGCUAUUGCGCCUUUCUCCCUCAUCCACCAUGGCAUCAUGAUAUUUCAUCUCCAGCAAUACCAACGUAUGUGCAGGGCAGAUGACUUCUUCCUAUGCUAUUUUUAUUUUCUGACAUUAUGCAUGCUACGUCAUGAUCAAUCAAGGAAAAAAAUCAAACAAAGGGUUGUGCAUGUGCUUUAUUAUACUGUACUCCCAUGUUUUUCUUUUGAGGAAUUAGCAACUGAUGCCUAUUGGAUGCUUGAAGAAAUGCCUCAACCACCUAACAAAUUUCUUAGUAAGUACUCCCUUCAGAAUAUUAGGGAGAUAGCUUUUGCUACUUGCUAGAGUUUGAAUCUGCCUAAUGUAUUACUGCAGGUAAUCCACGUUGACCACAAUUCUUUGAACUUGGAGCACUCUUUUCCCUGAUAAUCAAGUUCUGCACGUGGGCACUAAUGGCUACUACUGAUGGAGUGAAUGGAUGGCUCAAAUAAAAUUUCUUCACUACAUGUUUUUCCCUUUUUUGUGAAUGUGCUUCUGCACUAAAUGACAGAACUGCAUUAGACUCUACACCAGUAUAUCACCCAUUCCGGUCACAGCAAUAAGAAUGCCACUGAAUUUGUGAAAUAUACAGUUGAGAAUACUAUAAAACAACCGCAACUGUAUGAUUAUCCAGUUGUAACUGCUGAUUGAGAAUCCUAUGAAGCAACCACAAUUGUAUGAUUAUCCAGUUGUAACUUCUGACAUAGUAAGAAAUGGAAUAACACAUUUACUGUGAUUUUACUAAGAGCAUUGACCACAUUUCAAAAGCAUUAUCAAACUCAGUUUUGAACAGGAAUGUCGUUUUUUAAACUAAACAAUUAUCAUGCAAAGGUUGUGAAUUAUAUGUAAUCAUGUAUCCAUGUUUUUAUCUUCCUAUUAUAUUGUGAGUCGAACUACUCUUCUUCAUUACUAACGUUUAUCCUAUACAAUGCUAUGAUCCCGCAGCAACACGCGGGGAAUUGUCUAGUUUUCUAUGUGUGGGUGAGGAUUAGUUUACCUAUAUAUAGUUGGCAACAAUUGCAUAUGGAACUAAAAUAGAUUGUCAAGUUAAGUAGUUGGCCAUAUAGGAUGUGCACCGCUUGCUUGACUAAGCACAUCCUUGUGAUAUCCAUGUCAUUUAAUAUGGUCUUACUCAGAACCAAGAGAUAAGGCUGAUUGUUUAUGAUUUCAAUAUUAAUAUCUAAUAACAAUAUUAGGUUGAUGUGUAAUUAAUUCCUAGAAGUAUGCGUGUGUUGUAAUAUGACAACAAUGUUAGACCAAUGUGUAAAUGAGUUAUGGGCAUGUGCCUCUACACGGAAUCUGAAAUUUCGCUCAUUUUCAAUCAAAUGGACAUACCGGUAUUAUUACUAUAUAACUUGAUAUUAAAUAUGGAGCUAGCAUAUAAGUGCAACCAAGCAUUGAAUUCAUUAAUGAUUGUGAUAGUCUCGCGGUCACCGAAUAUAGGUGUGAUUUGUUUCAGCCAUUCACAUGUAUAACUAUGCAAGCCAAGACAUGUAUACACAUUUUGAGCAUUCAGAUCAGUCAGAGUUUUAUAAGACACCACUAUAGCAUAUGGAGAGGGGGGAGGGGGUCUCAGGAACCUUGAGGCUUGAGAGGUAUGCAGACAACUAUUGAUGUAAUGCAAUGGCAUAGAGGAGGUAGUGGAUCAAUAACUUUAGCAAGUCUCUGUGAAGCUACUUGGGCAUGAGAAUGUAUCUUGUGCAAUGAGCUAUCUGAUGCAACGGGUGCACCAGCUCAAUCUGACCCGCCGGAUGCACAAUAGAGGGACCAGAUUGCAUAAACAUAUAGGCUGCUGGUACAUUUUACAUAUUGCUCCUCGAAGUCAGAAAUCGUCCUUUUGCGCAACGGUUUUUCCCAAAAACAGCGUCUGUUUUGUCCUCCCGUCUCCUGACCUGAGAGUGCCAGAGUGAUUCAGAUCGCAAGCUAGGGUUAGCGACUCACAUCAUCACAUUUCUCGUACCCUCCGCUCGGCUGCCCAACCUUCUGCGCCCUCUAUCUUGUAGCUAGUUUCGUUGCCGGCGAAGCACCAGCGCCCCUCCUCUGCUCUUAAAUAGUCGUCCCUAGUUGAGUUCCCAUUGCCACCCGCGAGCGCCUGAAUGCAGCACUGCUACACUAUAGUUCCGAGGGAUGUUGACGCAACAACUGCAAAGGAGUCAGCCAUCUUCUACAGCUCCAGGAUCCAGGGUGUGCUCUUUUAAUUGUCCAUGUACUAUGGCCAUGUAUGGAACAAUUUAAUGUUUUUUUGUGGUUCAAGUGGAUUUAUGUCAUGCAUAAUCCCAUAUUGUUUGACCCGAGAGACUGGUUAUGCUUCAGGAAAUUUAUGCUCAGGAAGUUGCAGAAAUAUAUGUUUUGUUGUAGGAACAACCGGUUCAGAGUUUAUGUUCUGCUUCAGGACUAAUUGAUGAGCCAGUUCAAGUUAAGACUAGUUUUCACCAUGAUGCAUAUCUUUGUUCUGUACUAUAAUUGUGUUUCAGCCUUUUCCGUGAAAUGCUGCGGCGGGAUGUUAAUUGUAUUGUGUUUAAGUAGUCCAUCAAGACUUGAACUGUCUGGUAGCACUUUAAUCAAAUUAGAAUGUGUACUGAAACUCUGCAAAAUUUAAAGUUUUUUUGUGGGGUGCAAAAUUUAAAAGAUAGUCAGUAACCUUACUAUCACGUACACAAAAGGGUUCGGACGUCGUGUAAGAACAUGAGAGAUAAUAUAUUUCAUAAGGAAAACUUUGUUUCUAGACAAUUCGUAAAAGAAUGCCAUCUGCUAUCAAUUUUGACAUUUUCAAGCUCCGUAUUUCCUUACACAUACAUUAGUGUGCAUUCCUAUGGAAGCAUUCAGACAAUAGUAUCUCUUUGCUUUAGCCAAAUGAAUGAGCACCAUGCAGCUCCCCUGAUCAUCCGAGAAAGACCGACUUGAUGCAGCUAGAACACUAGCUUGUACAACAAACUAUGUUUUUUCAGACGAGCCUGUAGCUAAACAUGCAGACGAUACAUGAAAAUCACGACAAUCAUCAAUUUUCAGAUGCAUAUGGUGAUAGACUUUGAGAUCGGAGUAGGCUAGUAGAUCCGGUAACCUACCUCCUCCUGGUGCGGACGAACUCGAUCCAGCACCGGCCAUGAUGGUGUGGUGACGGCGGCGACGUGGACUGAGAUGGCGGCGGCAGUGUGCUUCCCGUGAGCACCGCGCUUACCCUAGAUCGGUAGGGAGUGUUCGGUGGGGUUUGUGGCGGCGUUCAACCUCGUGAGACGUGCCCCGUCCCCCACCUCUAUUAUAUAGCACGGGUCACAGGGGCCCACCAACCAUGGUUUGGUUGGGCGCCCCCGAUCAGGGCGUGAGUCAGGGGCCCGUUCGACCCGUUGGGUUCGAACGGGAUAGAGAUCAAUCUAACAUUCUCCCCCUUGAUCUCAACUUUACUUUUUACCUUAUACUUUCUAUUUUAUUUGUUUCAUCACAUAUUGGUACAUAGAGCAUGUUUCAUCGUCGCAGCUCAAUUGCCGAUAGAAUCAUUCAGCUACAACAUACGUUUUGUUCAGAAACAAAUUCUGUUCCUUUUGGGCCUAUCCAGGAAUCAUAAGGCUUUCCCUUAAACCCAUGCCGGCUAAGUAUUCCUUGAACACAUUGGGUGGUAAGCCUUUCGUUAGCGGAUCCGCAAGCAUAUCUUUUGUCUUUAUAUGCUCGAGACUUAUAGUUUGAUCCUGGAUUUUAUCUUUCACAACAUAAUACUUUAUAUCUAUUAUUUUGGCAGCAUUACUCGACUUGUUGUUGUGAGCGUAAAAUACCGCGGGCUGAUUGUCGCAGUACAUCUUUAGUGGUUUGUGAAUACAAUCUACCACUUUCAAGUCGGGUAAAAAUUUCUUUAGCCAUAUUGCCUGCCCCGUGGCUUCGAAGCAUUCUAUGAAUUCUGCAUACAUCGUGGAUGAUGCAACUAUCGACUGUUUGGAGCUUUUCCAUGAAAUAGCUCCCCCAGCAAGGGUGAAUACGUAUCCUGGCGUGGAUUUUCUAUCAUCUUUGUCCCCCGCAAAAUCUGCGUCUGAAUACCCUUUUAUCUCUAGGGAAUCAGAUCUCAUGUAUGUUAGCAUGUAGUCCUUCGUGCCUUGCGCAUAACGCAAUGAUUUCUUUAUCAUCUUCCAGUUCUUUAUGCCUGGAUUCUCUUGAUAUCUACCGAGUACCCCGGUGAUAAAGGCUAAGUCAGGCCGAGUGCACACUUGUGCAUACUGCAAGCUGCCAACUGCCGAAGCAUAUGGUACUCCUUUCAUUUGAUCGAUCUCGUACUGGUUUUUGGGACAUUGGAAUUUCCCAAAACUAUCGCUCUUAACUAUAGGAGCAGGUGUGGCUUUACUCGCAUGCAUAUUAUAUUUUUUUAAGAACCUUUUCUAAAUACGCUUUCUGCGAUAGUCCUAAGACUCCAUUGUUUCUAUCUCGGUGAAUUUCUAUGCCCAAAACAUAUGAUGCUUCACCAAGAUCUAUUAUGUCAAAAUUCGAGGAUAAGAACUUCUUUGUUUCUUGUAGUAGAUUAACAUCACUGCUAGCAAGCAGAAUGUCAUCCACAUACAAGAUUAGGAAAAUAUAUUUCCCAUUUUUAAACUUUGCAUAAAUGCAGUUAUCCUCAAUAUUUUAUUUAAAACCAAAACUUUUAAUCAUUUGAUUAAACUUUAAAUACCACUGCCUAGAGGCUUGCUUUAAUCCAUAAAUGGAUUUCUUGAGGCGGCAUCCCAUAUUUUUCUUGUCUUCCAUGAUAAAACCCUUGGGCUGUUUCAUGUAGACAUUUUCUUUUAAAUCUCCGUUGAGAAAUGUCGUCUUUACAUCCAUUUGAUGUAACUCUAAAUCAAAAUGAGCAACUAAUGCCAUUACCAUUCUGAAGGAAUCCUUACAUGAGAACGGAGAAAAUGUCUCUUUGUAAUAUAUCCCUUCUCUUUUUUGUAAAUCCUUUUGCCACGAGUCGUGCUUUAUAUUUUUCUAUAUUCCCUUUAGAGUCAUACUUAAUUUUGUAGACCCAUUUGCAGCCUACUGAUUUGGCUCCUUUAGGAAUUUCCUCUAAGUCCCAAACAUCUUUGGAACUCAUUGAUUUCAUCUCGUCUUCCAUUGCCUUCGUCCACAUCGAUGAAUGAGGGCUUCUCAUGGCUUCUUCAUAUGAGGUGGGAUCUUUUUCCAUAUGAACCAUUUCUGUGUUAUAAACUUUAAAGUCAGUAGAAAUAGCUGACUUUCUUGGUCUUGUAGACCUUCUAAGGGCCUCAGUUUCUGGCACAUUCUGUGCCUCAACUUCUGGUACUUCUUCUAAAAUGUGCUGCUGCACCUCCCUUUCAUGCUCAACAACGGGUUCAGUCGGCUCCUGACGGACAGGUUCCGGGUCUGCUCCCAUAGUUGUCAUGGGUGGAGUUGCAACUGGUAGUGAGAAAAAUGGCUCCUGGAUCAUCGGAUUAGGUGCAUGCACCCUCUUCUCCUCAAGAUCAAUUUUCCGAGCUACCAAGCUCCCCCUCAUCAUUUCGUCCUCUAAGAAGACUGCAUGUCUCGUUUCUACAAACUUUGUAUAUCUGUCUGGGCAGUAGAAACGAAAACCCUUUGAUCUGUCUGGAUAGCCAAUGAAGUGGCAACUCACUGUUUUGGGAUCUAACUUUCUAAUGUUUGGAUUAAACAUUUUGGCCUCAGCAGGGCACCCCCACACCCUGAAGUGUUGUAGGGAUGGCACCCUUCAUGUCCAUUGCGCGUACGGUGUUUUGGGCACCGACUUGCUUGGUACUCUAUUGAGAAUGUGAAUGGCGGUUUUAAGCGCCUCCAUCCAUAAUCCCAAUGGCAAGUUGGAAUAACUCAUCAUGCUGUGCACCAUAUCCAUAAGUGUACGGUUGUGCCUUUCAGCUACUCCAUUUUGUUGAGGUUCGCCCGGCAUUGAAUACUGGGCAACUAUGCCAGUCUCCUGCAAGAACUUUGCAGAAGGUCCAGGGACUUGGCCAUAUGGAGUGUGCCGACCGUAGUACUCUCCCCCAUGGUCGGACCUAACUAUCUUUAUUCUUUUAUCAUGCUGAUUUUCAACUUCAGCUUUGAAUAUUUUAAAUUUAUCCAACACUUUAGAUCUUUCUUUGAUUGGAUAAAUAUAUCCAUAGCGAGAGUAAUCAUCUGUGAAUGUUAUGAACGAGUCAUAUCCAUCCACACUUUUCACCAGAAAUGGUCCACAAAUAUCAGUGUGGAUGAUUUCUAGUGUGCCUGUGCUAUGGAUUGCAUCUUUUUUGAUUUGUUUUACAUACUUUCCUUUAACGCAAUCUAUGCAUUUUUCUAAGUCUGAAAAUUCUAACGGAGGAAGAAUUUCACUUUUGACUAAUCUUUCUAUUCUCCCCUUCGAAAUAUGGCCCAAGCGACAUUGCCAUAAUUUCGAUGAGUCGAAUGUUCUUUUUCUUUUCUUUUGCUCUUUAUUCGACGCGGAAACAUUUUCUUUCACAUUGCAAACGGAAUAAACUUUUUCACGUAGUGAUAACAAAUAAAUCUCAUCAUGUAGUAAAGCAUCACCCACAUAAGCAUUAUUAUACCAAAUGGCACACUUUCCAUGUCCAAAAUAACAUUCAUAAUUAUCUUUGUCCAAACAAGAAACACUAAUUAAGUUUCUAUGACAUGAUGGAACAAAUAAAACAUCUCUAAGUAGAAGAUUGAAUCCGCCAUCUAACUCCAAGGAGAUGUCACCGACAGCUUCAACUUCUUCUUCAACUCCGUUUGCCACUUCAAUGCGUCUUUUGCUUCUUAGCGUAGUUUGCGUCGAAUGGAAUCCCUGUAAAGAAUUUGCAACAUGAACUGUUGCUCCUGAAUCAAUCCACCAACUGGAUUUUGAAAACUGUGUAUCCAAGGAUUCAUUUACAAAUGAAACUAUAUUGUUACCUCUUUUGCCAUGACUGACUUCAGCCAAGCAGCGCAGUCUUUCUUGUAAUGCCCUUUCUGCUUGCAGUGGAGACAAGUGUCUUUGUCCACUGAGAAAGGUUGUUGCUGAUGCUGAUGUUGAUGGGGGGCUUUUCCAUGCUUUGAAGGAGAACUUUUGUUGCUUUGACUGUAGUUCUUUUUCUUGUAAUCCUUCACAUAGUUGAGUGAACCACCAUGUGCGGCUUUGAGUCUUUCCUCUUCUUGGACACACAUUGCUAUUGUCUUUUCAAUGUCCCAUAUUCCAGGGGUCAUAUUAUAGUUUACAACAAAAGUUUCAAACUCCUUUGGCAGUGAAGCCAUGACCAGGUGGACCAGGAGCGUUGGUUUGAUCUCCAGAUCCUCAUCCAUGGGCUUUAGCUUUGCUGCCAUAUUGCUCAUCCUCAGGAUGUGCUCUCUUAUUCCAUGACUACCACCCGUGUAGCGUUGUGUCACCAGUUGCUCUAACACUUGGGUGGCAUAUAUCUUUGAAGAGCCAGUGAACUGGCUCUUUAUCUUUGUAAGCAACUCCCCUGCGGAAGUGCACUCUGCAAUGGAGCCCACAAUGGCGCUCUCAAUUGUAUUCUUUAUAAAUGUCAUUCACUUUUUGUUUGCAUUGACCCACUUUUGGUUAUCUAUGAGGUAGGACUGCUCCAAAGGAGCAUAGUCCCACUUCUUUUUAGCCCAUGCAGCAUCAUCAUCAGUGGCCUCUCUUACUGGCUCUGUGGGUAUGGCCGGUUGUGGUUUCUCCACAACCCAGUCAAGAUCAGCACAAACAAAUGCCAGUUCAACUUUCUUCCUCCACUCAGUGUGGUUGUCACCUCUGAGUGCCGGAACUUCUUUUAGGCAACUCAUCAAGUGAAAGCCUCCUUCUCCUGGUGCGGACGAACUCGAUCCAGUGCCGGCCAUGGUGGUGUGGUGACGGCGGCGAUGUGGACUGAGAUGGCGGCGGCGGUGUGUUUCCCAUGAGCACCGCGCUUACCCUAGAUCGGUAGGGAGUGUUCGGUGGGAUUUGUGGCAGCGUUCAACCUCGUGAGACGUGCCCCGGCCCCCACCUCUGUUAUAUAGCGCGGGUCACAGGGGCCCACCAACCAUGGUUUGGUUGGGCGCCCCUGAUCAGGACGCGAGUCAGGGACCCGUUCGACCCGUUGGGUUCGAACGGGAUAGAGAUCAAUCUAACAUAUGGAACAUGAGAGAUCUCCAAAAUAACAAGUAGAACGUGGUUGGGUAAGAUUAAACUUUGUGCUGUAGAGAAUGCUGUAGAGAAUGUCAGUAACAUUCCUGAGCUUACUCAUGUAUAAAACAACUUAUCCAUACUUGUCGUUGCUUCACUCCUACAAUCUAAUAUAAUGUGUUACAGGAAAUUCAAAAAAGAAGACAAGUAUGGCAGAUCUGAAAAUGUUAUGGGUCAACUGAAGAAUUGCCUAAUCAAAUCAAGUGUCUAAUAGUCCACCUGUACUUAGUAUGCUGCUAGCACAUAUAUAUGGAUUCAAUUUACGUGCAUUGUGGCAUAUACAUGAACUAUUCCUCAAAUAUUUGGCAUCAUGCUGAGCUGUACCAUGUUUCUACUCACACGACUAAACCAUAUGACAGCGACAACAGUUUCGGAGCGGAGCAGAGGAGGGGCGUGUGCUUCAGAGGCGCCGGAAGUAGGUACACAAGAGAGGGGAGAAAGUUGGGUUGGCCAAGAGAGCGGGCGAUGUAAGCUCCACCUAGCACGACCUUCUCCCUUGGGCUCGCCGGCGGCAAUGGAAGCUCCACCUGGGACGGCCGUUUCAGAGAAGAGGAGGGGCGCUGGUGAUUCACCGGCAACGGAACUAUGUACAAGUGAGAGAGGGGAGAAAGUCGGGCGACCCAGGGGGAGCGGGAGAGAGAGGCGGCGAGAGGACUCGCUAACCCUACUCACGAUCUGAAUCGCCCUGGCACGCUCAGGUACAGGAGAGGAAGACGAGAUGCCAAGGAAAGAGACGAUGUCUUGGAGGAUGACUGUUUGCGCAAAUGGACGAUUUCUGAGGAGCAAUAUGUAAAAUGUACCAGCAGCCCAUAUGUUUAUGCAAUCUGGUCCCUCUAUUGUGCAUCCGGCGGCUCAGAUUGAGCUGGUGCACUCGUAGCAUCAGAUGGCCCGUUGCACACGAUACAUCCUCACUUGGGCAUUACAAGUCAAAUGACGAAUCAUACAUGUCUGUGGGCCAAUGACCCUCUGUAUUUUGUACUGCCUUGAAGAUGUGAUUAGAGAAGUGGGGUCUAUGCCGUGUCGGUGAUAGGUGGCAUUGUUCUUCAUUGUUUCCCCAAGCAGCCUAUUUUGUCGUUUCAUAGGUUAGUGCUUUUUAGCAAAUAAUCUAGUCUGUGAUGGCAUGGUACAAGACUGUACUCGUCGUGUAAUCUGACAAUUUACCAAAUCAGAAGAGUUUUCACCCGAUUGACGGCCGUGUAAAUUGACCUGUGAGGUAUUAAAUUAUUUCCCCUCUGCUACUUUUUUUUGUUGAUCAGCUCAGUGAGAUAAACACACCAUGAAGCCUGCACUGUGCUUCCUGGUGUUUCAAUUGUGGCAAUCGUGUCCGUAUGAACUCUGAGAAUUAAUGGAGAAACUGACCAUGAUUGUGUCAGAAAUGUGUUGCGGAGCGUGAAACAUGCUAGAGAUCUCUCAUCCCAUGCUUGAGUUGCAUGGAAUUGAAUAUCCCGUUUGCGUGAAUCUGAGAACGCUUCAAUUUUAUGACGAAUUGUGUUAUGCCAGAAUUCCUGACAUAAAAUUCCCACGGGACUCAACUUGGAUUAUGUAAUUUGUUUUCUAAUUUUCCUUGGUCAAAAGAAGGUGAUUAAUAAUUCAAUGUCUCAUCCUGAAGCAUGUAUAUUAACACAUUGUCCAAUUCAAAUUCUUGUUCACAAAAAUCACCAUUGCGUCUUCUUUAAGAACAAUUCAGUCUUGUUGCAUAUAUCUUCCAAAGCAUCAUCAAGCCUUUAGUGCCUGCUUAUUAUUCUUUAACUUAACCAUAUCUUAAUUAAAUUAAUUAUAGCAACAAGUUGGAUGAAUUCAGUGCCAGCUGCAAGAUUUGCUUAUGUCAUGCAUAUAUUUCCAUGGAAGGACAACUGUCAAACAAUGAAUCCUUUGGGAGCGGACCCAAGUAUGAACAACCAAUGAUCGCCCGAAAGUUGUAUCAGUUCAAAAAUUUAACACUUUCGCUUCGAUACAACCCCCAUGUACCCCUUCAUAAUAAAGCAUAGGAUGGUCUUUAUCAAAAGCACAUCGUCUGCGCCAAGCGCGAUAUGCGGCCUGUGCGUACCGCCCUGGGCCAGUCCAUUUUACAUUUUUUUCCUGUUCUGUAAAACCUUCAAAAGGGCGGGCCAGCCCAUUUUACACUUUUUUCAUGUUUUCUAAAACCUUCAAAUAAUGAGCGCCCCAUUAGAUUCAAACCGAGCACAUGUACGCUUACUACAAGGGCAAUAACCAACUGGACUACUUCUUGUGUCUAGUUACCUUCUUUUUUCUCCCUCAAAUAUAACACUAACCAAUGUGUGAACAUUUUUUAAAAUAUAAUAAUUUUUUGGUUAAUUGAUAUGAAAUAUUUUGAAUUAUGUGAAAGUACCACUUCAUAAUAAAGGGUAGGAUGGUCUUUUUUAAAAUUACGUCGACUGCGCGAAGCGCAAUACGCGGCAUGUGUAUGUAUUGCCUUGGGCCGGCCCAUUUUACAUUUUCCCCCUUUUCUGUAAAAGUUUUAAAAAAUGAGUGUUCAACGGGAUUCAAGCCCAGCACGUAUACACUUAGUACAAGCGAGGUAACCAACUAGACUACUUUCUGUUGUCUACUUAUCAUUUUUUUGUCUUUUUCAAAUAUAACACUAACCAAUACGAGCAUGUUUUGUAUUCUUUGUCCUUUUUAAUAAAAAAUAUCUUUCUUUUUACUUUUUCCAUUUCUUUUCUAUUUUAAAUUUGCAAAACAUUUAAAUCGUGACCUUUUUCUGAAGUCUAUGAACUUUUAAAAUUCUUGAACAUUUUCUUAAAUUCAUGAACUUUAUUUUCAAAUCUGUGAACUUUUUUCAAAUCCACGACCUCUUUUAAGUUUAAACGAAUUUACUUUUAAAGCCCACGAUUUUUUAUCAUAUUUUUUUCAAAUUGAUUAACUUUUCUCAAAUCCGCGGACACUUGGGUCGGCCCAACUAGGUGGGACGAUGCGGUCACCUAGUUGGGCCAAGGCCUAACCUUUUGUUUCUCUUUUCUAUUUUUAGGUUUUUCUUUACUUUUUUCCUUAAUUCAUUAUUCUCAUUCUUGAAAAAAUAGACCUGUUCCAAACAUUGAAAUAUUGUUGGAAUACCAAAAAAAACUUGUUUUCAAAUAUAUUUUUACAAUUUUUAAAAAAUGUGCUUGUUUUUCUAUAUUUUGUUCACAAAUUUAAGAAAUGUUUGUGUUUCAAAAAAUUAGAUACAUUUUUAAAAAAGUGUGUGGUUUGCAAUAUUUGUUCAUCAUAUAUUGUUGAUAAUUUUUUAACACUUUUAGAAAAGUGUUGAACCUUGUAAAAUUUUCAUACACAAUUUGGAAUGAAAAAAUUAUUGACAAAUUUCCAGAAAUGGUUAGGAUAUAAGAAAGUGUUCAUGUUGGCUGAUAAUGACGGAAACUGCAAAUAACAAAGGUAUUCAAAUUAGGAAAAACUACAUACUCACGAAUCCACCUAUUGGGCCUUGUCUAGCACUCUUUUCUGAACUGGUGGUUUUUUGCACUAUAGAUAAAUGACCUCAUCUUCUUGCAACGGCUUGACACAAAUAUAUGAGGCGUUUGAACAAAUUCCGACAUUGUAUGCAAGUUGCGGCACGUCCGGUCAAUUAUAGGCCAUUUUUCACCGAGAAAACUCCAAAAACUACAAGAAUUGUCAAAAAAUUGAAAAAAUUGGCAUGAUGCCUUGAAUUGGUCACAUAAGCUGGUGGUAAAAAUUGAGGUCAUUUGACGGAUGUCAAAACAAUGUGCUUUCAAAAGGGCCCUUCUGGCCUAUUUGAGCACCAUCUGUCGAACAUGAUCUAGUUUUAAACAUUCUUAAAACAACCCCAACUUUUGCAGUCAUGUGGGCAUGCCCAUGGUAGGCAUCCAUGACAGGUUUGAACGAGUUUCGACACCGUAUACAAGUUACGACACGUCAGACUUUAUCAGCUUUUUUAUUAGGAAAACUUCAUAAAAAUGCAAAAUUUAUCGAAAACCAAAACAUCUUGGCAUGAUGCCUUUAAUUGGUCAUACAAGGCCAUGGAAAAAAUUGGGGCCAUUUCAAGGAUGUCGGAAAACAAUGUGCUCUCGGACGGAGCUUUCUGGUAUACCCGAACACACUUUUGUUGAACAAGAUAUAUGUUUGUACAUCCUUCAAAUGGGGAAAGUAUCUGGUGCACCGGUGGUUGUGGUGCUACCGGUGCACCAGACGACCAUAGCGCAUUCAAGAAUGUUAAAAAAACUGAAAAAACAUUAGCACAUUGGCACAACGUCGGUUCAUGUUGUCGCAAAAUUUCAACUCAAAAUUUCUGCUCGAGGUACAAAAAUCAUAAAAUUGGCACUGAAUAGUACACAACAUUAGUUGGGCUUUAGAUUUGGCCCAUUAACACACUGAUGCCAAAUUUGUUAUUUUUGUAUCUUGUGCAAUGUUUUGAAUUUUGAUUUUAAUUUUUGCAACAACAUAGACCGACGUUGCGCAAAUGGGCUACAUUGUUUUCAGAUUUUUUUAAAAUAUUCUUAAACACGCUACGACGUCCGGUGCACCGGAUACUUUCCCCCUCAAAUGACGCCAACUUUUGCAAGGUGGACAUGCCCAUAGUAGGUAUUCAUGUCAGGUUUGAACUAUUUCGACACCGCAUGUAAGUUGCGACAGAUCCUACCAUUAUCAGACUUUUUUGACCCGAAAAUUCCAGAUUUGUUGAAAACCAAAACAACUUGGCAUAAUGCCUUUAAUUGGCCAUAUAAGAUCCUGUAAAAAAUUGGGGUCAUUUGACGGAUCCAAAAAACAUGCACUCAAAGGGAGCCUUCUGGGCUACUCGAACACCCUCCAUCGAACACUCUCCGUUGAACAUGGCCUUCUGGCUUACUCAAACCUGUAGGCAGCACACUGCCGUUCAUAUUUAGUCCCAUCUCACCUGGUUACACGGAAGGAGUCAGAAAUCUUGACUAUAUAAUAGGGCAGCCUGGUUACAUGGCUGACGGCCAACCCGAUAAUUCGACCCAUGGGUGCCUGAGCUCAUGGGCACCUACCCCGAAUGGGUAGGGUAUGGAUCAUCAUCUUCAUCCUAAUUAACGUAGCAACGAUGCAAUAUUUUCAGCCUAUUGAACCUCCAAAAGCUGAAGGCAUGCAACACACAGUCUAAAAAAAGUGCAUGCUACCCUAGAAAAAAUCUAUUGCGUGCAUGUCAGUGAAUUGAUCAUAGGAGCAGGUUGUUUAGUACCACCUGGCUUGCUCUGGCGUCUAGUAGGUGGGGUUCUACUAUAUAAAGGAGACUAGGAGGUUCAAGAGGAAAUACAUCAACCAUGGCAUGCAUUGAACGAGUAAAAAGAAAACAUAAUAAAACGGCAGACCUGAUCGGUGCCUGAGUUGGUCGGGUUACUCAAUGGGUUCGGGCAUGGGUCACCCAUGGGUACGCUCCUAGGCAGGCGACAAACCCGACAAGGGAUUCGGGCAUGAGUCUAGGAGAGGUCGACCCGACCAAACCCGACCCGAUUGCCAGCCUGAGUUGCCGACUUUUAAAUUUUAAAAAAAUGUUCAUAGAUAAAAGAAAAGUUCACAAGUUUAAAAAUGUUCAAAGAUUUGAACAAAGUACACGAAUGUGACAAAAAAGUUCCCAAAAUUGAAGACAGUUCACGAAUUUGACAAAAAAGUUCAUGAUUUUAACACAAAAGUUCAUGAAUUUGACAAGAAAGUUCAUGAAUUUGAAAAAAAUUCGUGAAAUUGAAAAAAGUUCAUCGGUCUGAAAAAACUUCACGAAUUUGACAAAAAAAGUUCACGAAAUUGAUAAAAGUUUACAAAAUUAAAAAAAGCAUUUAUUUGAAAAAUAAAUAAUGAAUUCAACAAAUAAGUUCAUGCAUUUUUAAAAAGUUAAGGAAUUUAAGAAAAUGUUCACGAAUUUAAGAAAAUUAAAAAGAAAACAGUGUAUGUAGUUUUUUAUUUGAAUUUUUAUUAAAAGAAAAGCGCUUGGGUAGCUAGUCAUUGAAAUGACACACGGGUCCCUCGCUCCAUCCCUCAGUGUGGACCAGUCGUGUACGUUUCAUUCGUUCAUUCAAACACGAGUCAUUUUUUGUUUGCGUUUAGUUCAGUUUUUUUGGCCCAACAUGGUGACUCAUGCGACGAGAACCUAUACGCCAUGCAUAUAGACAACGUGGAAUGAAUAUCGAUCCAUCUUGUACAUGCAGACAUUUCGUUCAUCAUUUACUGAAACACGACUCACCUUUUGUGUUUAAUAUUUUUUUGUUUGCGUUAACUGUAUGUGUUUAACGCCACACACGACUCAUUUUGUUAACGCGGGGACAAGAAUGUGUUUUCUGAAGAAAAAUAAAAAAAGGAAUAAAAUCAAAGAAUAAAAGGGCCAAACAAAAAAAUAAUAAAAGAAGUAACUAGACACCACAAGAUAGUUUUCCCGGUUGGUUAUAGUGUGUGGAAGUAAACUAAGAGGUUGGGAGUUUGAAUCCUACCUCACGCAACUAUGUUUGAAGGUUAAAGAAAGAAAAAGGAAAAUGGGCCAGGCCCAAGACAGAGGUUGUGUUUGUCAGUUUGUGUGACGGGCCGGCGGAUCGGUUGUGUAUACAGCUGGUACGUGCCACAUACAUAGAUGGGUAUAUCUUAUAAUCAGAUGACCCUAUUGUCCUUAUACGGUUUGUGAGUGGGGUGUACUGAAGCAAGACUCAAAAUUUAAAUAAGAAUCGCUCAUUUCUUUCUUUCAAACCAAAGAGCUCUCCUCUCCGAUUUCAAAUAAGAAAGAAACCGAUAAAACGCCACACGACGCACCCAAGUAAAACCAGCAGGCACGAUAUUGGAAUCCUGCUCCUGCAACCAAUCAUCCAAAACGAACUUAAGUUCAACACUACAGGACUGAAACCAAAACAAACUCUUGACAUACACGACAUUACAUCCAACCAUGGCAGCUCCAAAAUAGCAUUUAGAACUACAAAAGGGGGCACUUUUUCCAGCAGCCUCAACCCAAGCGAAUAUGCCUUCCAUCCUCUACCACCACUGAGAAUACGGAAGCAGCCUCCUAUCGAGAAAUAUAUCCAGGUGUGGCGUCUUGCCCCCUGGUGAUUCCUCAAACGAAAAAAUGGGUAUUGGUUCUUGCCUUGGAGUUACUAGAGCUGAUUCAGGUGACCUGAGCCAGGGGGUUAAGUCAUACAAAGCUAUCCAACUUCUUUGGUUACAUCUAUCGCAGAUGUGGCAUUACCUAUAACUAUGUAUGUAUUUUCAAAGAUGAUGACGAUAAUAGGAUGUGGAUGAAGACAUCUUUGAUUCUUGUGUGCUUUGAUUAUAAAAAAGACAUGCUAGUAUGCCCUGAGUCUGCCCUAGCCUAAAUAUAUGAGCUAGCGUAAAUGUUUGAUAUGCACGAGAAACUAAGUAACCAGAUAUGAUUAUCUAUAUGUGGGUGUCAAUUGAUUUACAUGUAGUUGGCUAUUGGCAAAUGCAUAUGUGAUUGACAGAGACUGUUAAGGUAAGCAGUUGCUCCUCUAGGAUGUAUUGGCAUCCUUCAUUAAGUAAAUUAAUGUGUGCUCCAUGUCAUUCAUAUUGUUUUAUUCAGAAAGGGGAGAUAAGGCCGAUUGCUCAGGAUUUCAAUAUGAAUAUCUUAUAAUAAUGUUAGGUAGAUGUGUAAUUAAGUCCUUGAAUAUGCAUUUGUUGUAACCUGACAACAAUGUCAGAUGAUGUGUAAAUAGGUUAUGGAUGUAUGCAUGAGUACUAGUGUAGCACUUGACACUAAAAUAUGCAGUAGCAUAUAAGACCAACCAAGCAUUGAACUCAUUAGUUAUCAUGAUCGUCUCGGGGUAAUUGAAUAUAUGUGCGAUUUGCUCCUACCAUUCACAUGUAUAAAUGUACAAGCCAAGAAACGCAUAUACAUUUUCAGAUUCGAGCCCGAUGAGUUUCAUAAGACAACACCAUAGCAUAGGUCAUGGGGGAAGAAACAAGUACGUUGGGGCUUGAGAGGUAUCAGGAUAAUUAUUGCUUCGGUUCAGUCAUAUAGAGGAGGUACAGGAAUGAUAAUUGGAGCAAACUUUGGCAAAGCAAUUCGAGGACUACAACUCGCUUGAUGAAUGCUACCAGUGUGUGGGCAUACAACUCUCUAACAGACUGCUUGGGUAGUGUCUUGAAGAUGUUGCUAGAGCAGUAGGAGCCCGCGUCGCACCGGCGAUAGGUGGAACUGCUUCGCCUAGCAGCCUGUGUUAUCCUUCGCGAGUCGUUGGUAUGCAUCGUUUUGUACAAGUUCAUGCUUUAAUUUAUACCCAAAUCAGAAGAGUUUUCACCCGAUCCACAACUAGGUAAAUUGUCUUGUGCUGUAUUCAAAUAUUUGCCCCUCUGCUACCUUUCGUGCUACGCAGCCAAUCAUCUAAAUUCCAAAAUGAACUUAAGUUCAACACUACAGGACUGAAACCAAAACAAACUCCAACAAACACAACACUACAUCCAAGUCCAAACAUGACAGCUCCAAAACAGCGCUUACAGCUACUCCCUCUGUAAACUAAUAUAAGAGCCUUUAGAUCACUACUUUAGUAUUCUAGACGCCUUUAUAUUAGAUUACAGAGGGAGUAAAAAAGAAGGCUCUUAAUCCAGCAGCCUCAACACAAAGCCAAUACGCCUGACCAUCGGCCUCCGGCCUCCACCACCACUGAAUUCAGAAGCAACAUUACACAGCCAAUAAGACCUAACUCAUCGAACAGAAGAAACGGAAUUCCAAGUCAUAGACAGCAUUAGGACGCCACCAUUUCCUAGACAUGACACCAACAUAGGUACUGCCAUAAGACAGCAUGAGUCAGCUCACCACCAACCACCAUUAACAAGACAACAGCCGGCGACAAUAGUAGCUCGUCACCAUGUCUCGUGCUCAUCCAUUGGUUCCACGUCCAAUCAACCUUUUGCUACUUCAGACAGUCUUCUUACCCAGCAAUCUGGCAAUCAAAGCAAACAGAACCGGAAGUUACAUCAG